GUAGGUAUAGCUCAGGUGGUAGAGUGCAUGCUUAGCAUGCACAAGGUCCUGGGUUCAAUCCCCAUUACCGUCA
Molecule: transfer RNA, 73 nt
Filed under: Camelus bactrianus (Bactrian camel)
Lineage: Eukaryota; Metazoa; Chordata; Mammalia; Artiodactyla; Camelidae
Also listed under: 1 other name
Rfam family: tRNA
About the family: Transfer RNA (tRNA) molecules are approximately 80 nucleotides in length. Their secondary structure includes four short double-helical elements and three loops (D, anti-codon, and T loops). Further hydrogen bonds mediate the characteristic L-shaped molecular structure. tRNAs have two regions of fundamental functional importance: the anti-codon, which is responsible for specific mRNA codon recognition, and the 3' end, to which the tRNAs corresponding amino acid is attached (by aminoacyl-tRNA synthetases). tRNAs cope with the degeneracy of the genetic code in two manners: having more than one tRNA (with a specific anti-codon) for a particular amino acid; and 'wobble' base-pairing, i.e. permitting non-standard base-pairing at the 3rd anti-codon position.
Source: Rfam by way of RNAcentral